RNAcentral lists this long non-coding RNA (629 nucleotides) under Capra hircus (goat). RNAcentral describes it as "lncRNA (ENSCHIG00010018752.1)". The record is from RNAcentral. Lineage: Eukaryota; Metazoa; Chordata; Mammalia; Artiodactyla; Bovidae.
GGCGGCGGCGGCGGCUCGCUCGGGGCGGGUAAGGGCGGGACUGGCCCGCUGCGGGCGGACUGGGGAACCGCUGAGCUAACGGGUCCGGACGCCGACGGAGGCGGCGGCUUUCUCUGCACCGGCGGCGGCGGCGGGAGCGGCGAGCAUGGCCCGCGCGGCGCCCGGAGCUGACUGAGAGUCAUGCUGCGGCAGCCUGGUGCCUGACAAGUGAGGGGAACCUGCCAGGGGAUUACUGCUCGCUCAGGGCAGGACCGAGGCCUCGGGAGCAGGGAUGGGCAGGGCAGCCUCCAAGCCUGGGCCAGCAGCACCAAGACGGAGGCCUGGGCCCCGGCCUGGAGCUCGACACGUGCCCACUUGGUUGCCCCAGGUGGCACUCAAAGCAGCACUCUUCUGAGAAACGGGUGAUCGCCAGCCCCAAAGACCACACAGCAGGAGCUGGAGCUCAGCCACCCCUGCACAACUAGGACUAUCAGGAGAAGGGACUGGCACCUCAGGGGACGCAGGAAGGCAGACCCGAACGGCAGGAGGACCUUGUCCCUGAAGAGUUUACCGGCGCCCGCAGAGAUUCCUGAGCCUCUUCUCUCCAGACUGGGCUCAGUUCCUUUCUCUCCCCCGGCAGAGGCAUCGGG